GCCGGGUGAGGUGGUUUGCACCUGUAGUCCCAGGUGCUCGGGAGGUUGAGGUAGGAGGAUUGCUUGAGCCCAGGAGGUUGAGGCUGCAGUGAGCUAUGAUUGCUUCACUGCACUCCAGCCUGGGCAACAGAGCAAGACCCUGUCUCCA
This 148-nucleotide non-coding RNA is filed under the name Chlorocebus sabaeus (green monkey). The record is from Rfam by way of RNAcentral. Lineage: Eukaryota; Metazoa; Chordata; Mammalia; Primates; Cercopithecidae.